ACACACACACACACAUACACACACAGGUGAAUGACUGGCUGUACAGGAAGUCUGUUGCAGAAGGUGUCUGCAUCCAGCACUGUCCCGCAUCACAGCAGAGCAUCACACUGACAAGUGGUGUCUGAGGGCCAAGUUACUUCAGCCCAAGUCUGGGGGGACUGGUGCAGCUUCAGCAUUAGACUCACUAACGGGACAAGCUAAAUAUGAUUAUUAAAAUGUCAUGUUCAGCUCUCUGGUGUCAACAGCAUCCAUGUCCAUACAAGACUGCGAUGCUUUCUGCAAGGCCUUCACCGUGUCAUUAAAUGUGGCAUUCAGCUGUGGCAUCGAACCGGUUAAAUUCUAAGCAGUCUGGCCCACCUCAUGAAGCCAGAGUCCAGCUGGCAUUGGACAAGGAGACAACAUGGACUACCAACAGACCUCUUGUCCAAGAUGUUCUGAGGGCCUGGGUUUCACCACCAGAACGAAAGCUGAAAGACACCAAAUCCAUCGUGACUUUUAUUACAGAAGUGGAAAGGCCUGGCUUUAAAAUAUUUUGGAUUGGCAAAAGGAAAGGCUGAAGGAAGACAGGGAACAGUCGGGAUACCUUUUUUUUCAAGGAGAAAGCAUUGUGCAUAUGACAUGUGCAUCCCCCUGCACAUGUCAUUCUGCAACACCAGCAAUUAAUCAAUUUUCCAGACGGGCGGCGGGAGGCUGUGCUGUUUGCUCCAAAAGAAGCUUUUAUGGUGUACUGCGCUGUUUUAAAGUAGCCUGGCAUCAAAACAUGACCAGUAGAGGCUGUUCUGGUGGAAACCAAUUUGAAAACACUAAAACAUCGUUUUUGAGCUUUUCAGGUCAUAAGAACACUACUUUAAACCACGGCAUAUGCAACCGAACAUUUAGGAUGCUUCGAGCUGUUUUAAGGUAGCCUGGCAUCAGAACAUGACCAAUACAACCUGUAUAGUUAAAAACCAAUGCAUAAACACUAAAACAUCGUUUUGGAGCUUUUCAGGUCAUAAGAACACUAGUUUAAACCAAGGCAUAUGCACCUGUACAUUUAGGAUGUAUUGAGCUGUUUGAAAGUAUUCUGGCAUCAGAACAUUACCAUUAGAGGCUGUUCUGGUGGAAACCAAUUUGAAAACACUAAAACAUCGUUUUUUAGCUUUUCAGGUCAUAAGAACACUACUUUAAACCACGGCAUAUGCAACUGAACAUUUAGGAUGCAUUGAGCUGUUUUAAGGUAGCCUGGCAUCAGAACAUGACCAAUACAACCUGUAUAGUUAAAAACCAAUGCAGAAACACUAAAACAUCGUUUUGGAGCUUUUCAGGUCAUAAGAACACUAGUUUAAACCAAGGCAUAUGCAACUGUACAUUUAGGAUGCAUUGACCUGUUUGACAGUAUCCUGGCAUCAGAACAUGACCAUUAGAGACUGUUCUGAUGGAAACCAAUGCAGAAACACUAAAACCUCGUUUUUGAGCUUUCCAGGUCAUAAGAACACUAGUUUAAACCACGGCAUAUGCAACUGUACAUUUAGGAUGCAUUGACCUGUUUUAAAGUAGCCUGGCAUGAGAACAUGACCAUUACAAACUGUAUAGUUAAAAACCAAUGCAGAAGCACUAAAACAUCAUUUUUGAGCUUUCCAGGUCAUAAGAACACUAGUUUAAACCAAGGCAUAUGCAACUGUACAUUUAGGAUGCAUAAGAGCUGUUUGACAGUAUUCUGGCAUCAAAACAUGACCAUUAGAGGCUGUUCUGGUGGAAACCAAUGUAGAAACACUAUAACAUCGUUUUUGAGCUUUUCAGGUCAUAAGAACACUAGUUUAAACCACGGCAUAUGCAACUGUACAUUUAGGAUGCAUUGACCUGUUUUAAAGUAGCCUGGCAUGAGAACAUGACGAUUACAAACUGUAUAGUUAAAAACCAAUGCAGAAGUACUAAAACAUCGUUUUGGAGCUUUUCAGAUCAUAAGAACACUAGUUUAAACCAAGGCAUAUGCAACUGUUCAUUUAGGAUGCAUUGAGCUGUUUGACAGUAUUCUGGCAUCAGAACAUGACCAGUAGAGGCUGUUCUAAAUGAAACCAAUGCUUAAACACUAAAACAUCGUUUUUGAGCUUUCCAGGUCAUAAGAACACUAGUUUAAACCAUGGCAUAUGCAACUGUACAUUUAGGAUGCAUUGAGCUAUUUUAAAGUAGCCUGGCAUAAGAACAUGACCAUUACAAACUGUUUAGUUAAAAACCAAUGCAGAAGCACUAAAACAUCGUUUUGAGCUUUUCAGGUCAUAAGAACACUAGUUUAAACCACGGCAUAUGCAACUAUGCUUUUAUGGUGUACUGAGCUGUUUUAAAGUAGCCUGGCAUCAAAACAUGACCAGUAGAGGCUGUUCUAAAUGAAACCAAUGCAUAAACACUAAAACAUCGUUUUUGAGCUUUUCAGGUCAUAAGAACACUAGUUUAAACCAAGGCAUAUGCAACUGUACAUUUAGGAUGUAUUGAGCUGUUUGACAGUAUUUUGGCAUCAGAACAUGACCAUUAGAGGCUGUUCUGAUGGAAACCAAUGCAGAAACACUAAAACAUCAUUUUUGAGCUUUUCAGGUCAUAAGAACACUGGUUUAAACCACGGCAUACUGUACCGUGAAAGGUCAAGGUCAUCAAAAGGUCACUUUUGAUGACCUUGACCUUCCUGUUGAAUAAAAUGGCAGUUGCAGCCUUCCUUUCUAAAGAUACAACUGUAGAGACAUGAAAUAAAAGCAAACAUCUUACCCCACAUCCUUCACAGAGCAGCUCUGACUUGCUGAUACUUUGAUGGAAUGUGCAGAGUAAAUCACAGUCUGACAUCACAGUUGUUCACUGCAUAGGUUAAAAGCAAUGGACUCAGGAACAGAAGUUGACAGUCCUGCAGACUGUCUGAUAUUAUAGUGUUAUUUGUGGAGUGGGCAUCAGGUUCUGUUAAGAAGCUGCAGUUUCACUUCAGCUUCCGUUUCAAUUUCGCUGCCGUUUUAGCAGAAGCACUGAGGGCAGUUCAUGUAAGU
Molecule: long non-coding RNA, 3005 nt
Organism: Betta splendens (Siamese fighting fish)
Lineage: Eukaryota; Metazoa; Chordata; Actinopteri; Anabantiformes; Osphronemidae
Exons: 5
Source: RefSeq, a predicted model, not a curated record